RNAcentral lists this ribosomal RNA (747 nucleotides) under ectomycorrhizal root tip 238_Ny3.B2-34.1. RNAcentral describes it as "eukaryotic LSU rRNA". The stretch from base 193 to 346 matches the Rfam family "5.8S ribosomal RNA". Lineage: Eukaryota; Fungi. The record is from RNAcentral.
GGAUCAUUAUCGAAUGAAUGUAGAGUCGGUUGUCGCUGGCCCUCUCUGAUGGGCAUGUGCAUGCCUUCUCUUUCAUCCACACACACUUGUGCACUUGUGAGACGGAAAAGUGCCCUCGGGCGCCCGUCUGCUCUACAUAAAUUCAUAGAUAUAAAUAAAUCGAAUGCAAUCGAUGUAACACAUCUUUAAACUAAGUUUCAACAACGGAUCUCUUGGCUCUCGCAUCGAUGAAGAACGCAGCGAAAUGCGAUAAGUAAUGUGAAUUGCAGAAUUCAGUGAAUCAUCGAAUCUUUGAACGCACCUUGCGCUCCUUGGUAUUCCUUGGAGCAUGCCUGUUUGAGUAUCGUGAAAUCCUCGAAAUAGAUCUUUUGUUCAUUCGAUUGAUUUUAUUUUGGACUUGGAGGUCUUGCAGAUUUCACGUCUGCUCCUCUCAAAUGCAUUAGCUGGAUCUCCGUGAGCUCGGUUCUACUCGGCGUGGAUAAGCAAUCACUCGCCGAGGACACUGUAAAAAGUGGCCGGGAUUGCAGAUGAACUGCUUCCAAUCGUCUAUUAGCUUAGACAAUCGAACCUUUACGAUCUGAUCUCAAAUCAGGUAGGACUUACCCGCUGAACUUAAGCAUAUCAAUAAGCGGAGGAAAAGAAACUAACAAGGAUUCCCUUAGUAACGGCGAGUGAAGCGGGAAGAGCUCAAAUUUAAAAUCUGGCAGUGUGUUCUGUCCGAGUUGUAGUCUAGAGAAGCUUCAUCCG